This is a non-coding RNA of Arachis ipaensis, 1703 nucleotides long. The record is from RefSeq and is a predicted model, not a curated record. Lineage: Eukaryota; Viridiplantae; Streptophyta; Magnoliopsida; Fabales; Fabaceae.
CUAUAAAAUUAUACCAUUGCUUUGCUUUUCUGGAUGAGUUAUGAUUUGAGUACGACAUAAUACUCUUAAAAUUAACUUUCUAAGAGAUUAUAUUUAGUUUAUUGAACUAUAGCAAUUUCUCAUGUUAGUAUACUCAUCUUUGUCAGGGCUUUGUCCUGUCUGAUCCAAAAAAUAGGAUGUUCCUUUGCAGUUUCCUCAUUGUGAUAUCAUUGGUUUGUGGUGCUUAUUUAGUUGGCAAUGCAUUCACCACCAAGGAGUAUAAACAAGCGAAGGACACCUUCAAAGUUCUCUUCAAAUCUGAAGGGAAGGGAAACUUCAGAACAGUGAGCUUCAAGUUCAAAGCAAUUGCACCAAGAACAAGACUCACAUUCUACAGCUCCUUUUACCAUACCAGAAUUGAUGAUUAUGGAUCUCUCUGUGGCCCUGUUCUUGACCAGGUUAUAGUGUUCCCUGUCACCUAAGUUAUUAAACCAUUAAUGUAGUACUUAGUAACUAUGAUUUUUGCAAGUUACUUGAGCCUGUCUUCUGUAUAAUUGCAUGAGACCACUCUUUUACUCUAGUUUGCUGAGCACAAGACACCAAUUUUAAUUUCUGUUCAUUAAAAAAUUUGGCUCAAGAGUUUGAAGAACAAAUUUUUAAUCAUGGGAGUUGAAUGUUCAUGAAAUGAUUAAGUAGUAUAUUUUAGUUUUUGAUUGUUACCAUGUGUUAUUGGAAAUCAUGAGUUUCAAUAAGCAUGCAUUUGUUUCAUGCCAACAUUCUGAUCAAUGCAACUUUUUCCCCUUCUUUUUUCUUUAUUUGUUUGUUCCAGGUUUUGGGGUUGUAGGUUCUUGUAGUAUAGGAAAAAAAAGGUAGAUUUCAUGGAAUUGGCUACUGGAAGUUACCUUCUAGAGUUGUCAACGCGGGUGAGGAGAUUUUUGUAGAAGCUAUUAGAGAAGUAAAAGAAGAGACAAGACUGAGUAUCUAAGGAAGUGCAGAAUUCAUUCUUUGGGAAAUCAGAUUUGUCAUUUCUUUGCAUCUUGCGCCAUCUUUCUGUUGAGAUAAAAAAGCAAGAAUUGGAAAUUGAAGCAGCUCAGAAAGAAGAAUUAGGAUUUGACCACCAGGAGGUAGCCAUGCCAUCUGUGCCUCCACCAAAUAAGAUUAUUAAUUGUUUCUAGCUUUUGUCAAUGGAGGAGCUGCGGGAGAGACGCCUUACUGACCCUCGUCUUCCAAAAACUUACCGGAACAAAAUUGCUACAACUAAAUUCACCCCUUGACCAAUAGAGAUACGGUUCUGUGAACCUACAACUUCAACAAAUCAGACCAAAUCUCCUCCCAGUUUGAAUUUUUGGUUUAGAGCAAAGGGAAAACUUUCAGAUGAUCAGGCCUUGCAUAGUAUGCCAAACCAUAUUCAAUUCCGGAAGUGAAGACUACUCACAACAAAAAGAAGAAAAGUACGCGGAUUUAAUUAAAAGUUUGAAAUCUAGCAUGGACAACUUGAAUAAGGAGGCUAAUCAAGAAUGGGGAAAUAUAUUCCCUGUGUUCAAGGAAAUAUCUGUCACUGACAAUGCAUUAGAAAGGGUUCUUGCUUUGGAGAUUGAGCUUGCCGAAGCAUUGCAGGCCAAGAAGAAAUCAAGCAUGCAAUUUCAGAGAUUCAAGUGUCCUUUUGGUGAAUGAAGCAAUGCAAUUAAGUUCUGGAUUUUAGCCUUCAUCCUCAAGAACUCAAG